Long non-coding RNA from Ostrinia nubilalis (European corn borer), 271 nucleotides. RefSeq lists it as uncharacterized. Lineage: Eukaryota; Metazoa; Arthropoda; Insecta; Lepidoptera; Crambidae. The transcript is spliced from 2 exons. The record is from RefSeq and is a predicted model, not a curated record.
UAUCAAUCAAACGACAUGUGUCAUUUUACUUGAAGUGUGCAGUGCUAUGUAGGUUACCAAGACUAUCAGUAGAUUUUAAAAGGAGCCUACAGUUACUUCACUUUGCUUAGAGAAUAAAGAAAAAGAAAUGUAGCAAGCAAAACACCAACCGAAUAGGAUUGGUGACGUAAUCAAACACGAAUUUCAUAGAUUGCACAUUAGAAUAGAAUAGCAUAGAAAGUAUUUAUUUGUCUCAAUAACAUUAGCGUUAAUUAAAUGUCUUAUAAUGAUA